Molecule: long non-coding RNA, 612 nt
Filed under: Mytilus galloprovincialis (Mediterranean mussel)
Lineage: Eukaryota; Metazoa; Mollusca; Bivalvia; Mytilida; Mytilidae
Source: RNAcentral
AUAUUUUAACAGUUUUCAGAGACCCAUCGAUUUCUGCAUUUUGACUUUCAUUUUCAAAGAUUAUCACGUGACCACGAGAAAACAUUGUGAGUGAUGAUUUAUGCAAAUGACCAUAUUUUAACACCUCGUUCAAUUAAGAUGCAUGUAAGGCCAAAUAAAAAUAUAUGUGUGGUUCCAGUAACCCGACCGACCCUGGUUAAAACCCCCAACCCUAGAACUUUUUUUUCAUUUCUUAAAAAUAAAUUUUCAAACGAUCAAAUUUUGAGGAUUGUGAAUUAAAAUAAUUAAAUUCAUAGAUUUCUGUAAUCUGAAUUUCCAUCCCAAGUAUCUGUUAUGGCUAAAAUGCAAAAAUUCAUAACAGAAUGCCACAAAAUUAACUAAAAACGUAUCAUGGCUGUUUAUUUUACAACCACACACAUGUAAAAAUGUCAGACUUCCGGUUGGGGCGUGUAUAAUAAGGGAAACAAUUUCGGUAAACACACUAUUCUUUUCCGGAUUUUGACAUUAAAAAAAAAAAUUAAAAAAAAAAAAAAAAAAAAAUUCCGACCUACCGACCCUAUUUUUUAAAAGUAUGUAACUGGAACCACACAUAUAUUUUUAUUUGGCCUAAUC